ACGGGGUGCAGCAGGCGCGAAACCUUUACACUGCACGAACGUGCGAUAAGGGGACUCCAAGUGCGAGGGCAUACAGUCCUCGCUUUUUCCUACCGUAAGGAGGUAGGCGAAUAAGAGCUGGGCAAGACCGGUGCCAGCCGCCGCGGUAAUACCGGCAGCUCGAGUGAUGGCCACUAUUAUUGGGCCUAAAGCGUCCGUAGCUGGCCGAACAGGUCCGUCGGGAAAUCCGCUCGCUCAACGAGCGGACGUCCGGCGGAAACCAGUCGGCUUGGGACCGGAGGACCCGAGGGGUACGUCCGGGGUAGGAGUGAAAUCCUGUAAUCCUGGACGGACCACCGGUGGCGAAAGCGCCUCGGGAGGACGGAUCCGACAGUGAGGGACGAAAGCUUGGGUCACGAACCGGAUUAGAUACCCGGGUAGUCCAAGCUGUAAACGAUGCUCGCUAGGUGUGGCACUGGCUACGAGCCAGUGCUGUGCCGUAGGGAAGCCGAGAAGCGAGCCGCCUGGGAAGUACGUCCGCAAGGAUGAAACUUAAAGGAAUUGGCGGGGGAGCAC
This 555-nucleotide ribosomal RNA is filed under the name uncultured archaeon. RNAcentral's name for it is "bacterial SSU rRNA". It matches the Rfam family "Archaeal small subunit ribosomal RNA", at positions 325 to 879 of the family's 1478-position model. The record is from RNAcentral.